UACGGGGGGGGCAAGCGUUGUUCGGAAUUACUGGGCGUAAAGGGCGCGUAGGCGGUUUGCUAAGUUGGAUGUGAAAACUCUGGGCUUAACCCAGAGCCUGCAUCCAAAACUGGCUGACUUGAGUACUGGAGGGGAAAGCGGAAUUCCUGGUGUAGCGGUGAAAUGCGUAGAUAUCAGGAGGGACACCGGUGGCGAAGGCGGCUUUCUGGACAGUAACUGACGCUGAGGCGCGAAAGCUAGGGGAGCAAACAGG
RNAcentral lists this ribosomal RNA (253 nucleotides) under uncultured bacterium. RNAcentral's name for it is "partial 16S ribosomal RNA". It matches the Rfam family "Bacterial small subunit ribosomal RNA", at positions 524 to 776 of the family's 1533-position model. The record is from RNAcentral.